Molecule: ribosomal RNA, 442 nt
Filed under: uncultured bacterium
Lineage: Bacteria
Description: partial 16S ribosomal RNA
Rfam family: Bacterial small subunit ribosomal RNA
Source: RNAcentral
CCUACGGGAGGCAGCAGUAGGGAAUCUUUCACAAUGGGCGAAAGCCUGAUGGAGCAACGCCGCGUGCAGGAUGAAGGCCUUCGGGUUGUAAACUGCUUUUAUCAGCGAGAAAUAUGAUGGUAACUUAUGAAUAAGGCUCGGCUAACUACGUGCCAGCAGCCGCGGUCAUACGUAGGAUCCGAGCAUUAUCCGGAGUGACUGGGUGUAAAGAGUUGCGGCGGUGGCAUAAUAAGUAGCUAUUGAAAUCGGGUGGCUCAACCAUUCAGACUAUUAGUUAAACUGUUAAGCUCGAGACCGUUAGGGGUAACUGGAAUUUCUAGUGUAGGAGUGAAAUCCGUAGAUAUUAGAAGGAACACCAAUAGCGUAGGCAGGUUACUGGGACGGUUCUGACACUAAGGCACGAAAGCGUAGGGAGCAAACGGGAUUAGAUACCCCUGUAGUC